CUGCCCUACGACAUAUUCUUAACGGUCGCGGUAUUCUAACCGUGGAAAGGUAGCGUAAUCACUUGUCUUCUAAAUAAAGACCAGCAUGAACGGAUAAAUGAGGACAAACCUGUCUCCUGCGACAAAUCAGCGAAACUGAUCUUCCAGUACAAAAGCUGGAAUAAACUCCUAAGACGAGAAGACCCUGUGGAGCUUACACUCACAAGAUCAACAAGGCAAACCACAAAACCAACAAUUGACCCUGCGUUUUAAGUUGGGGCGACUUCGGAAAAAAACAGAACUUCCGAGAACGGGGCCACCAACCCCUGCUAAGGAAUACAACCCAAAGCAUCAACAUAUAAAAGACCCAGUCAAAUUGAUUAACGAACCAAGUUACCCCAGGGAUAACAGCGCUAUCUUCUUCAAGAGUCCAUAUCGACAAGAAGGUUUACGACCUCGAUGUUGGAUCAGGACACCCAAAUGGUGCAGCAGCUAUUAAAGGUUCGUUUGUUCAACGAUUAACAGUCCUACGUG
This 513-nucleotide ribosomal RNA is filed under the name Acontias tristis. RNAcentral describes it as "partial 16S ribosomal RNA". It matches the Rfam family "Bacterial large subunit ribosomal RNA", at positions 1902 to 2602 of the family's 2925-position model. Lineage: Eukaryota; Metazoa; Chordata; Lepidosauria; Squamata; Scincidae. The record is from RNAcentral.